Molecule: ribosomal RNA, 473 nt
Filed under: uncultured bacterium
Lineage: Bacteria
Description: bacterial SSU rRNA
Rfam family: Bacterial small subunit ribosomal RNA
Source: RNAcentral
ACUCCUACGGGAGGCAGCAGUGGGGAAUAUUGGACAAUGGGCGCAAGCCUGAUCCAGCCAUGCCGCGUGUGUGAAGAAGGCCUUCGGGUUGUAAAGCACUUUCAGUAGGGAGGAAGCGUUGUGUGUUAAUAGUACACAGCGUUUGACGUUACCUACAGAAGAAGCACCGGCUAACUCUGUGCCAGCAGCCGCGGUAAUACAGAGGGUGCAAGCGUUAAUCGGAAUUACUGGGCGUAAAGCGCACGUAGGCGGUUUUUUAAGUCAGAUGUGAAAGCCCCGGGCUCAACCUGGGAAUUGCAAUUUGAAACUGGAAAACUAGAGUGUGUGAGAGGGGGGGUAGAAUUCCAAGUGUAGCGGUGAAAAUGCGUAGAGAUUUGGAGGAAUACCAGUGGCGAAGGCGGCCCCCUGGCACCAACACUGACGCUCAGGUGCGAAAGCGUGGGGAGCAAACAGGAUUAGAUACCCUGGUAGGU